RNAcentral lists this ribosomal RNA (428 nucleotides) under Chloroflexota bacterium. Its description in RNAcentral is "Chloroflexi bacterium partial 16S ribosomal RNA". It matches the Rfam family "Bacterial small subunit ribosomal RNA", at positions 355 to 776 of the family's 1533-position model. The record is from RNAcentral. Lineage: Bacteria; Bacillati; Chloroflexota.
UGGGGAAUAUUGCACAAUGGGCGCAAGCCUGAUGCAGCCAUGCCGCGUGUAUGAAGAAGGCCUUCGGGUUGUAAAGUACUUUCAGUCGGGAGGAAGGUGGUAAGGUUAAUAACCUUAUCAAUUGACGUUACCGACAGAAGAAGCACCGGCUAACUCCGUGCCAGCAGCCGCGGUAAUACGGAGGGUGCAAGCGUUAAUCGGAAUUACUGGGCGUAAGCGCACGCAGGCGGUUGAUUGAGUCAGAUGUGAAAUCCCCGGGCUUAACCCGGGAAUUGCAUCUGAUACUGGUCAGCUAGAGUCUUGUAGAGGGGGGUAGAAUUCCAUGUGUAGCGGUGAAAUGCGUAGAGAUGUGGAGGAAUACCGGUGGCGAAGGCGGCCCCCUGGACAAAGACUGACGCUCAGGUGCGAAAGCGUGGGGAGCAAACAGG